GUAAAUGGACUGAAGAAGAGUAUGGGAUGCUUCGGAAGUUCCAGGGAGCACAUGGGAAUAAGUGGACCCUCUUGGCCAACGAACUUGGGAAACAUCCGGAUCAUGUUGGAAAUGCAUGGGAUAGGAUAAAACUGGAAAAUCGAAAGAGAGGACAGUGGGAUCAGGAGGAAGUACAGAAAUUGUUUGAUUUAGUAAACACCGAU
Molecule: unclassified non-coding RNA, 203 nt
Filed under: Hevea brasiliensis (rubber tree)
Lineage: Eukaryota; Viridiplantae; Streptophyta; Magnoliopsida; Malpighiales; Euphorbiaceae
Source: RNAcentral